This 73-nucleotide transfer RNA is filed under the name Gaiellales bacterium. RNAcentral's name for it is "tRNA-Ala". It matches the Rfam family "tRNA". From Rfam's summary of the family: Transfer RNA (tRNA) molecules are approximately 80 nucleotides in length. Their secondary structure includes four short double-helical elements and three loops (D, anti-codon, and T loops). The record is from RNAcentral. RNAcentral also lists the same sequence under 2 other names. Lineage: Bacteria; Bacillati; Actinomycetota; Thermoleophilia; Gaiellales.
GGGGCCGUAGCUCAGCUGGGAGAGCGCAGCGCUGGCAGCGCUGAGGUCAUGGGUUCGAUCCCCAUCGGCUCCA